ACGGCUCAGUAACACGUAGUCAACCUACCCUAAGAUCAGGGAUACCCUCGGGAAACUGAGGCUAAACCCUGAUAGGUGAAGGAGGCUGGAAUGCGCCUUCGCUUAAACGUAAGGUCUUAGGAUGGGACUGCGGCCGAUUAGGUAGUUGUUGAGGUAAUUACUCAACAAGCCAAUUAUCGGUAAGGGCUCUUAACGGAGAGGCCCUGAGAGGGAUUCUGAGAUACUAAUCCCAGCUCUAUGGAGUGCAGCAGGCGAGAAAAUUCUCCAAUGUUCGAAAGAAUGAGAGAGGAAUCCAAAGUGCUUCUCAAUUUGAGAAGCUUUUCUUCUCUUUAAAAAGGAGGAGGAAUAAGGACUGGGCAAGACUGGUGCCAGCCGCCGCGGUAAUCCCAGCAGUCCAAGUCGUGGCCACAUUUAUUAGGUCUAAAACAUUCGUAGCUUGUUUUGUAAGUUCUUUGUGAAAUUGUUGCACUUAAUGCAACAGCGGGCAAGGGAGACUGCAAAACUAGAGACCGGGAGGCGCGAUGAGUACGUUCAAGGUAGCGGUAAAAUGUUUUAAUCUUGGACGGACUGACAAAUUGGCGAAGGCAUGUCGCGAGAACGGGAUCUGACAGUGAGGAAUGAAGGCCCGGGGCGCAAAAUGGAUUAGAUACCCAUGUAGUCCGGGCAGUAAACACUGAUUACUAAACAUUGUGCUCUCCUAGAGAGGGUGCAGUGCUGAAUGGGAAGCUGAAGAGUAAUCUACCUGGGGGAGUAUAGCCGCAAGGCCGAAACUUAAAGGAAUUUGGCGGGGGAGCA
RNAcentral lists this ribosomal RNA (795 nucleotides) under uncultured archaeon. RNAcentral describes it as "bacterial SSU rRNA". It matches the Rfam family "Archaeal small subunit ribosomal RNA", at positions 85 to 878 of the family's 1478-position model. The record is from RNAcentral.